This is a long non-coding RNA of Pipistrellus kuhlii (Kuhl's pipistrelle), 565 nucleotides long. RefSeq lists it as uncharacterized. The transcript has 3 exons. NCBI's taxonomy places the organism in Eukaryota, Metazoa, Chordata, Mammalia, Chiroptera, Vespertilionidae. The record is from RefSeq and is a predicted model, not a curated record.
UCCAAAGUUCUGAUCCCAGUGGUUUGAGAUAAGCCCCAGUGGCGGGCAGUUGUAAAAGCUCCACAGGUGAUAUGAAUGUGAAACUGCCUCUGGGAAUCAUCAGUCUGCAUAAAAGACUUUUGUAAUUUUUUUUACCUGGAGAAAUUAUUAGGAACAGAGAAGGUUAUAUAACUUGAAAGAAUAUAUCUCAUUGUCUUUUUAGGCUCCAACUUUAUGUUUGUAUUUUAUAACAUAAAAGACUGGACUAUCCAAUUACCAGAAUCUUUUACAGCCUUAAAUUUCUAUGCUCUGUGAUCUGCUUCUCCUCUGUGUGUGUUUAAGAGAUCUCUUUACCAUGUGCCAGAGUCCUGGCUUGAUGGGUGGAAAAGUAAUUUACAAUUGGGAUACAGCAACAUGACAUAGCAUCCAGAUUUUAUGACCAUAAAUUUAGGAUUGAAUCCAAACUCUGCCACUCAUUAACUGUGAGUCAGUUACUUGACUUCUCUUAGCCUCAGAUUUUGCAUCUGUAAUGUGGAGGCAGCAUCUUCUUGAUGGGUGUGUGUGUGUGUGUGUGUGUGUGUGUGUG